Molecule: unclassified non-coding RNA, 391 nt
Filed under: Hevea brasiliensis (rubber tree)
Lineage: Eukaryota; Viridiplantae; Streptophyta; Magnoliopsida; Malpighiales; Euphorbiaceae
Source: RNAcentral
CAAUAACACUCACCUGCUAUAUUGUCUUCCUUCCCCCACUCUCUCAGAUCACCGCUAGCACCAUCUCCUCUAUUUCAAUCCGUACCGCCAUUUCUACACCGCCCGCCUAAAUCCCAUCAAUCACCUAUAUCCACUAUUCCACCCUGAUUUGUCUUUCUUCUGCAAUGGUCACUGGUGGGUCACACCAGGAUGAUGGGGACAAGAACCACCCUCCCGCUGCCACAGUUUCUAGAGCCGGCGCCAGCAGGUCUUGGGGCACCACUACUAUCUCCGGUCAAUCGGUUUCCACCAGUGGCAGCAUCGGUUCCCCUUCCAGCCGGAGUGAGCAGGCCAUGGCCACGCCCGGCAGUGACAACACUUUUCUUAGGCUGAACCAUCUUGACAUUCACGC